GACGAACGCUGGCGGCGUGCCUAAUACAUGCAAGUCGAACGCUUCUUUCCUCCCGAGUGCUUGCACUCAAUUGGAAAGAGGAGUGGCGGACGGGUGAGUAACACGUGGGUAACCUACCCAUCAGAGGGGGAUAACACUUGGAAACAGGUGCUAAUACCGCAUAACAGUUUAUGCCGCAUGGCAUAAGAGUGAAAGGCGCUUUCGGGUGUCGCUGAUGGAUGGACCCGCGGUGCAUUAGCUAGUUGGUGAGGUAACGGCUCACCAAGGCCACGAUGCAUAGCCGACCUGGGAGGGUGAUUGGCCACACUGGGAAUGAGACACGGCUCAGAAUCCUACGGGAGGCAGCAGUAGGGAAUCUUCGGCAAUGGACGAAAGUCUGACCGAGCAACGCCGCGUGAGUGAAGAAGGUUUUCGGAUCGUAAAACUCUGUUGUUAGAGAAGAACAAGGACGUUAGUAACUGAACGUCCCCUGACGGUAUCUAACCAGAAAGCCACGGCUAACUACGUG
This 508-nucleotide ribosomal RNA is filed under the name uncultured bacterium. RNAcentral describes it as "partial 16S ribosomal RNA". It matches the Rfam family "Bacterial small subunit ribosomal RNA", at positions 28 to 507 of the family's 1533-position model. The record is from RNAcentral.